AGAGUUUGCUUCUGGCUCAGGAUGAACGCUGGCGGCGUGCUUAACACAUGCAAGUCGAACGAAGCACUUUAUUUGAUUUCCUUCGGGACUGAUUAUUUUGUGACUGAGUGGCGGACGGGUGAGUAACGCGUGGGUAACCUGCCUUGUACAGGGGGAUAACAGUUGGAAACGGCUGCUAAUACCGCAUAAGCGCACAGCAUCGCAUGAUGCAGUGUGAAAAACUCCGGUGGUAUAAGAUGGACCCGCGUUGGAUUAGCUAGUUGGUGAGGUAACGGCCCACCAAGGCGACGAUCCAUAGCCGACCUGAGAGGGUGACCGGCCACAUUGGGACUGAGACACGGCCCAAACUCCUACGGGAGGCAGCAGUGGGGAAUAUUGCACAAUGGGCGAAAGCCUGAUGCAGCGACGCCGCGUGAGCGAAGAAGUAUUUCGGUAUGUAAAGCUCUAUCAGCAGGGAAGAUAAUGACGGUACCUGACUAAGAAGCACCGGCUAAAUACGUGCCAGCAGCCGCGGUAAUACGUAUGGUGCAAGCGUUAUCCGGAUUUACUGGGUGUAAAGGGAGCGCAGGCGGUGCGGCAAGUCUGAUG
Molecule: ribosomal RNA, 588 nt
Filed under: uncultured bacterium
Lineage: Bacteria
Description: bacterial SSU rRNA
Rfam family: Bacterial small subunit ribosomal RNA
Source: RNAcentral